AUUGAACGCUAGCGGGAUGCCUUACACAUGCAAGUCGAACGGAGUGGCGAACGGGUGAGUAAUGUAUAGGAACGUGCCCCGUAGCGGGGGAUAACUACGCGAAAGCGUAGCUAAUACCGCAUACUCUUGGAGCGGCCGAUAUCGGAUUAGCUAGUUGGUGGGGUAACGGCUCACCACGGCGACGACCCGUAGCCGGUUUGAGAGGACGACGAGCCACACGGGGACUGAGACACGGCCCAGACUACUACGGGAGGCAGCAGUGGGGAAUUUUGGACAAUGGGCGAAACCCUGAUCCAGCCAUCCCGCGUGUGAGAUGAAGGCCUUCGGGUGGUAAAGCACUUUUGGCAGGAAAGCGGUACCUGCAGAAUAAGCACCGGCUAACUACGUGCCAGCAGCCGCGGUAAUUC
This 407-nucleotide ribosomal RNA is filed under the name uncultured bacterium. RNAcentral's name for it is "partial 16S ribosomal RNA". It matches the Rfam family "Bacterial small subunit ribosomal RNA", at positions 30 to 526 of the family's 1533-position model. The record is from RNAcentral.